GACGAACGCUGGCGGCGUGCUUAACACAUGCAAGUCGAACGGAAAGGCCCUGCUUUUGUGGGGUUCUCGAGUGGCGAACGGGUGAGUAACACGUGAGUAACCUGCCCUUUACUUUGGGAUAACUUCAGGAAACUGGGGCUAAUCCCGGUUAGGAGCUCCUGCUGCAUGGGGGGGGUGGGAAAGUUUCGGCGGUUGGGGAUGGACUCGCGGCUUUUCAGCUUGUUGGUGGGGUAGUGGCUUACCAAGGCUUUGACGGGUAGCCGGCCUGAGAGGGUGACCGGCCACAUUGGGACUGAGAUACGGCCCAGACUCCUACGGGAGGCAGCAGUGGGGAAUAUUGCACAAUGGGCGGAAGCCUGAUGCAGCAACGCCGCGUGCGGGAUGACGGCCUUCGGGUUGUAAACCGCUUUCGCCUGUGACGAAGCGUGAGUGACGGUAAUGGGUAAAGAAGCACCGGCUAACUACGUG
RNAcentral lists this ribosomal RNA (468 nucleotides) under uncultured bacterium. RNAcentral's name for it is "partial 16S ribosomal RNA". It matches the Rfam family "Bacterial small subunit ribosomal RNA", at positions 28 to 507 of the family's 1533-position model. The record is from RNAcentral.